CCUACGGGUGGCAGCAGUGAGGAAUAUUGGUCAAUGGCCGGAAGGCUGAACCAGCCAUGCCGCGUGAAGGUCAGUGCCCUAUGGGCGUUAAACUUCUUUUGUGCGGGAGCAAUAAUGAUCAAGUGUGGCCAGACGAGAGUACCGUACGAAUAAGCAUCGGCUAAAUCCGUUCCAGGAGCCGCGGGGAUACGGGGGAUGCAAGCGUUAUCCGGAGUUAUUGGGUUUUAAGGGUGCGUAGGCUGGGAGGUAAGUCAGCGGUGAAAUGCCCCCGCUCAACGGGGUGAAGUGCAAUUGAUACUGCCUGGCUGGAAUGCGGAUGCGGUAGGAGGAAUGUGUGGUGUAGCGGUGAAAUGCAUAGAUAUCACACAGAACACCGAUUGCGAAGGCAUCUCACGAAUCCGCGAUUGACGCUGAUGCACGAAAGCGUGGGUAUCAAACAGGAUUAGAUACCCUAGUAGUC
This 460-nucleotide ribosomal RNA is filed under the name uncultured bacterium. Its description in RNAcentral is "partial 16S ribosomal RNA". It matches the Rfam family "Bacterial small subunit ribosomal RNA", at positions 338 to 795 of the family's 1533-position model. The record is from RNAcentral.